This 411-nucleotide ribosomal RNA is filed under the name Anomaloglossus cf. baeobatrachus ABGD cluster 4. RNAcentral describes it as "partial large subunit ribosomal RNA". It matches the Rfam family "Bacterial large subunit ribosomal RNA", at positions 1822 to 2453 of the family's 2925-position model. The record is from RNAcentral. Lineage: Eukaryota; Metazoa; Chordata; Amphibia; Anura; Aromobatidae.
CUUGAUUAAACCAUAAGAGGUCCAGCCUGCCCAGUGACAUUGUUCAACGGCCGCGGUAUCCUAACCGUGCGAAGGUAGCGUAAUCACUUGUCCUUUAAAUGAAGACUAGUAUGAAUGGCCCCACGAAAGCUAUACUGUCUCCUUUUUCUAAUCAGUUAAACUAAUCUCCCCGUGAAGAAGCGGGGAUAAACAUAUAAGACGAGAAGACCCUAUGGAGCUUUAAACAACUGAAACACUUGUAUAUCUCCCUUCACCUACCCACAUUUAACUCCACAUCUUGUUUCUAGUUUUAGGUUGGGGUGACCACGGAGAAAAAACUAACCUCCACGAUGAAAGAGACAUCUCUAAACAAAAAGCUACAUCUUUAUGUAUUAAUACAUUAACCUUUAUUGACCCAAUAAAUUGAUCAAC